AAACACGGUGCUUCAGUGGCACAGAAAUGCAAGAGGUGGCGGCCUGGCCAUUGUUUAGGAACCGGGCCAUACGGACAGGUGGAUCUACCCUGCGGAUUGCCGUAAUAGGGUUAUACUGCACUUCUCUUGAUGCUCCUGCCUUUUCCCUCCUCGACUUUGUCUUGUUGUCUCUUAGUGCACUACAGUACGAUCAAUCAGGCAAUUUCAACGCAGGAUUUUUAUUCGGUUAACUGUGAGUCACUUUCAUCCACUUUCCCCAGCCCCACCCCUUGAAAGAAUUAGGGAUUUUCUAUUUAUUUAUUAAUCUAGUGAAUACAGUUAUCCCAUUAGUAUAUCCUUUUAAAGUCCCUGGUAAUACCUAAGAAAAACUAAUAGAGGUGCUUUGCUUUUUUUUUUUUUUCAGUGAAUUAAUGUUAGUGACGUUCUGCAGACCUGUGAGUGGUCAUUUACGGCACCGCGGCUGCUGGCAGGCAUCGCACGCAGCACUGAAGUUCUGCGGCAGCUUCCCUCGCUCUAGAAUAGCUGUGCACGAGCACAGACCUCACCAGGUGCACCCCAAUCAGCAGGUUGAAUUAAGCAAAACAGCUGAGGACACUGAAAGAUUUACAGGAGCCAAACUCACCAGGAAAGGGAGAGGCAUGCGGUGGGGGCAGGCAUCGCAUCCCAGCACCCAGCCACCAAGGAUUUACAGACGUGCUGUCCGGUGCCCACAGUGUUCACAAGGAAAGAUGGUACCAACGUGAGCUGUGGUUGGGCCUCGUCUGAUACAAGAGAUCUGCUGAGAUUCAAUAACACUGCGGAGCCCAGCACACACCUAGGAGGAAUUCCAGCGAGGUCAGCAGUCACCAGCCACCACCUCCACAGACCUCCUGUGCCCAGGCACAGCUUGGGGCUGCAGAACCGCUGCGCACAGCGUUGAACUUCAUUCCUCUUUCUUUCACGUUUUUCUGUGCUAAUGCUCUCACACAUGGAUACCUCACCUGAAGCACACACAGAAAGCUUUGCAUCGCCAGCUGCCCCAGCGGGGCUGCAGGGCUGCAGCUCUGAGUACCGUGCCCAGGCUGGCACAGGGCUGAGCAGCCCCAGGGUGCUGAGACCUGGACCCAUGCUGUCACUGCAUGGCAUUUCUGCAAGUUCUUCAAAGGCAAUCUAACUGAAUCCCAGAUGUGGCUUCUGCUUUUUUUUUUUUUUUUUUUUUUUUUUUUAUGUUGUAGCACACCAAAAUAUCUAGAGACAAGUAGCUAAGGCUGUCAGUGUCUUGAAGGAGAUCACAGUCUGCAGCCGGCGCUCUGUGAAAUUCACAGGCUCCAUUUCUGGAAAGGAGGAUGCCGAGGACAUCCUCUGCGAACUCAUGCAGCCACCACCUCCCACCAACCAGGACAUGAAGCUAACUUCACGUCUGUAAAUGCAAACGCUUCAGAAUAACAAGGCUAUUGAAAAGAGUAGAUACAUUUUUCCUCAUUUUGCUAAAAUCCUGGAUCACCAGCUAAAAAAUGGAUCCUUGCAGGAGCCUCUCAGAUGUGCUGAGCCAAAGCCUGACUGCUCUGCACACCCCAACACAUCGCCCCGUGGCAAUGCCCACAGGGGCAGCGCAGACGGACACUGGAGCUAGCACGGCAUCUCCCCACACAGCAACUUUAACUCUGUCCUCUUUCAAUACAUUAAAAUGUGCUAAAUUGUCUGGUCUCCAGAGCUGAAGGCAAUAAAGGGAAAACUAGGGGGGAAAAAUGUAUAAAGCAAUUUUCCAUCCUUCUGACAACGUACCAUAGCUGCAAACAUUUUCUGAGAUUUUGCAUACACAACGUGAGGCUCCCAUGAAACUCACAUACUGCAAGUGUCUUGUAUAUUUUUCCUGAGGAACGCAAAAACCUGAUGAACCAAGCGGUUUGCUAGUCUCGCGUGCUCCAAAUGGUUAAUUUUGCUGAAAUGGGCAAGAAACCUCACAGCUGAUAAUUAUGAAAUAACGUGGCCACAGGGGAGUUCCCUCCCCAUUACCAUUGGUUAGGGAUUGUCUUAUGUCCUGGAGCAGUAGAAUUUUGAUUAUUUAAUUGAAAUUAUAUAUAUUAGCAUGGAUGUUCUUGUUAGCCAUAAAAUAAAAUAUCUAAUAUUUUCAAUCUUGUUGCAUCAACAUCUUGUGGCAAUGAACUCCAAGGGCUAAAAGCACAUUAUCUGCAAACAUCAUUGUUUAAAUUUGCCACCUUUCAGUGUCACUACCUGGAUGCUUGCAUUAGGAAAUAAAAUAAAAAUCGUAUAAAAAAAGGAGUGGGGGACAACAAAUAACUGCCUAUUGGCCUUCUUUCUCUCUUUUUAUUUUGUAACAAGAACAAAAAAAAAAAAAAAAGCUUUAACUGAGGUAGAAAAGUAUGGUCGGUUUUCCAGCAUGUCACAUAAUUUCUUGUCAAUUAAAGUUUCUAAAAAGCUCUAUCUUCUACUAACAGAUUUUAAAGCCAAGUGUUGGUAGUCUCCUUUAUGUCACAGGGCCAAUAAAUUCCCAAUGACCAAGUAAAAUCCCAGACAGACAUUUGUUUUAUGAUGUGUUCCAAUCAAAUGCAGGGGUUCCUAAGCUGGUGAUUACAACUGCUGUCACUUGUAUUUGCAGUAACUGCUUUACAUAUUUAUUUGGUAAAUCAAAAUAGAGGUUAGCUAAAGAAGCAAACCUACAACAAUAAAGUAUCUUCUUGUAAAAGGCUUUUACUGUUUUCAUUAACUUAUUAAAUUUAAACUCAUUUUUCCUAGUUUUCACUUCUGCAGUUAAUAACUUUUAUAUAGCAAUUCUAUAAUUACAUUAAUAGAAAGUUAAAUUUUCCCCCUUUCCCAUAGCAUUACAGCAUUAAUGGGAUAUUAACCAGUAAAACUGCACAUUAAGUCAACUCAUCUUCCACUGAUAGGGCACAUUUUAAUUUAAUGAUUUUGAAGUUUUCAGCUUUUUUUUUUUUUUUCAUUUUGUUUUGUUUGUUUGAUUGAUUUCUUUUUAAAAACUAUUGCCAAACUUCUGGUUUUCCCAGCAUACACUAACGCCUACGCAGGAGCCCCUUUAGCCUUCCAGUUGCCACAGGGCAGUUUUUCUUUGUGCCCUGAAGAGCAGCAAGAGCCAUGGGCACCACGUGGGC
This is a long non-coding RNA of Cairina moschata (Muscovy duck), 3110 nucleotides long. Lineage: Eukaryota; Metazoa; Chordata; Aves; Anseriformes; Anatidae. The record is from Ensembl.